GAUGAAGAACGUAGCGAAAUGCGAUACUUGGUGUGAAUUGCAGAAUCCCGUGAACCAUCGAGUCUUUGAACGCAAGUUGCGCCCGAAGCCAUCAGGUUGAGGGCACGUCUGCCUGGGCGUCACAGAUCGUUGCCCAAUGCCUAUUGCAGUGCAAUAGGAAUUUCUAGGGCGAAUGAUGGCUUCCCGUGAGCGUUGUUGCCUCGCGGUUGGUUGAAAAUCGAGUCCUUGGUAGGGUGUGCCAUGGUAGAUGGUGGUCGAGUUAGAACGAUACCGAUCAUGUGCAUGCUCCCCAAAAUAUGGCCUCUAUGACCCACACGCGUCUUUUGACGCUCAUGACGAGACCUCAGGUCAGGCGGGGCUACCCGCUGAAUUUAAGCAUAUCAAUAAGCGGAGGA
This 395-nucleotide unclassified non-coding RNA is filed under the name soil metagenome. Its description in RNAcentral is "partial contains 5.8S ribosomal RNA, internal transcribed spacer 2, and large subunit ribosomal RNA". The stretch from base 1 to 122 matches the Rfam family "5.8S ribosomal RNA", at positions 35 to 154 of the family's 154-position model. The record is from RNAcentral.